AUUGAACGCUGGCGGCAGGCCUAACACAUGCAAGUCGAGCGAGCGGCGGACGGGUGAGUCCUGUAUGGGGACUGCCCGUUAGAGGGGGCGAACUACUGCAAACGGUGGUUCAUCCUGCAUACUGUCGGGUUACCUAUAUGGGAUUAGCUAGUAGGUAAGGUAAUGGCGUACCUAGGCGACGAUCCCUAGCUGGUCUGAGAGGAUGAUCAGCCACACUGGGACUGAGACACGGCCCAGACUCCUACGGAGGCAGCAGUGGGGAAUAUUGCACAAUGGGCGCAAGCCUGAUGCAGCCAUGCCGCGUGUAUGAAGAAGGCCCUAGGGUUGUAAAGUACUUUCAGUCGGGAGGCGUUACCGACAGAAGAAGCACCGGCUAACUCCGUGCCAGCAGCCGCGGUAAUUC
RNAcentral lists this ribosomal RNA (403 nucleotides) under uncultured bacterium. Its description in RNAcentral is "partial 16S ribosomal RNA". It matches the Rfam family "Bacterial small subunit ribosomal RNA", at positions 30 to 526 of the family's 1533-position model. The record is from RNAcentral.